GUCAACAAGCUUGACAGAGUGUAUACAUUGAACAUUGCGUCCACCAAUAGAAAAACAAACAUUCUUUUUAAGCAGACAUGGAAUAUUGAUGGAAACUGACCAUAUGCUAGGCCUAAAUUCAUACUUAUUGUGAUAGCUUUGUAAUGUGUCAGUUUGGCUAGGCUGAACUACCCAUCUCAGACUUCCCUUUCUUCUGUGUUUCCAGUUAGCAUGAGCCACGUGUCAUGCUAUUCUGGAAGGCAGGAAGAAAGCAAAAGCCAUUUUGUAGCUCACACACUUCGUUGCUGAUCUGCAAACUCACCUUGGAAUAAAGCAGAGCUGGGCCUCAAUUAUUCCCCUUUUCUCCUGGAUCUUCCUUCAGUGUCACUGACUCCUGGACCAGGUGAUGCUGAUGCACAGUUGAGGGGUGUGAAAAAUCAAGCAAAACUCUCCGUGAAUGCUGAAUGACAACCACAAGCUCUGUUUGUUGAGGAUCUGGAGUGAGUUCUGCCAGCUGCCUUUGGCCCAGAUCUCCAUGGAGUGACUCAUCAUACCUCUGCAUUUCUGGGAAUUUGGAAUGUUCUUUUAUGAUUUUUUAAUUAAGGAAAAAAGUGUUUUGCUUAGAAUAUAUACAUCUACAUAUUUGAAAGAAAAUACACCAAAAUGUCAAGUGUUCAUUUUGAGCUCCUGUUCAGAAUUCCUGAAGCAUUCAGAGUUGUAAGGCAGUGUGAUGUGGUGAGCUGGGUCCCUAGUCCAUCACCUAGGCACCCUUCACUGAAUAGAAAGGUUUAUGUCCAAAUCUUGGCUUCACUCCUUAUUAGUUGUGUGACCUAGUGCGAGUUGCUUAACCCCUCUGAGCUUCAGUUUUCUUACCUGUAAGAUGGAGAUAAUAGUACCUACUUCAGAAUGCUAUUGUAAGGAUAAAUGAGAUAAUAGGCAUGAAAGUACCCGGCAUGCUUCUGGGACCUUGAGAGCAUCCCCUGCUUUGAAAAUUGUUGGAUAUAAAGUAAUGGUACAUGGGCAAUAAGCUUUGUAUAUAGCUCUUUUGAUGAAUUAGGUGCAUGGGUUCCUGUUAGACUCAUCCAACAAGGCCAGUCCUUGGCGUGUAUGUAUAUGUGUUUGUGGGUCUGCAUCUGCACCCUCCCUGGGGAAAAAGAGAGUUCGAUUUGUGAUCAGUGGAGACCAGUGUGUAAUGGUUGAGAGCUGAGUUCUGAAGAUAGGCUUCAUAGAUUUAAGUCCUUGCUUGGCCAUGUACCUACUGUGUGGCCUCAGACAUAUUUCUUACCCUCUCUGUAUCUCAGUUUCAUCCUCUGUAGAAGUGGAAAGUAACUUAGUGUUGUUGUGAAGAUUCAUGGAGUUAAUAUAUGUAAAGCACUUAGGAUCCACUAUUCUCCAUUUCUAGGACAAACAGGAAGUGGCAGAGGAGAAAGCUGUGGUGAUGAAAGUGACAGGGAUGCCAAAGAGACUUGUGCUCCAGGAAGUGCCAGGGCAAUGAUCCCCAUGAUGGACACAGGCCAUGGAGCACUAGAAGCCAAGGGUCUGGUAGGGAACAAUACAAGAUCAGGAAAGGGAGCAAUGGCAUCGGGCAGCACCCAGGGUCCAUGGUGCUGGGGACACAGGGACACUCUGCCUCCCAUCAAUGAUGCUGGAGUUGAAAAAGAGAUUCGAGUCUUGGGGUUUGGGAACACUGCAAGCUUCCAGGGUUACCCCAUAUGACGGUGCAGGUCAGACAGUGUAGAGGAAUCCUGUAGCGUCUGUUUGACAUCUGCAGACAUGGUUAGGCCUCUUCCUGUAACAUUGUAUAAAGGAUGCCAGAAGAGACAAGGUGGAGUGUUCAAGUGCAUGCAUUUCCCUUGGAGCUGGAGGAACAAAGCAACCAGGACCCUUGUGGUGACAUAGGGCAAAGGUCUCCAGUACAAAAAGCAGGUGACAAGUAGGAAUUAAGACAAAAGAUAAGGGUAAUUACAUAAAGAUACCCCUCCAAGCUUCGAAAUUCACAUAUUUCUGGAAUCCUUAUAUUAAUACCAUAAUAUAAACUUUAAAUCUAAUAUAAAUGCCAGUUUCUCUUUAAGUUAACUCUGGACCUUCCUGUUACUCUUCUUUGACAGCUCCUGUUCAGAAUUCCUGCAGCACUCAGAGUCAUAAGGCAGUGUGGUGUGGUGAGCUGGGUCCCUAGUCCAUCACCUAGGCACACUUCACUGAAUAGAAAGGGUCUAUAAGCUCAAAUCUAUGCUUAUAGACUAACAUAACUUAGACCAUUAAGCGUACAAACAGUUCUGGGAACCCAGGCUUACUGUCAAGCUAAAUAUCAUACAGAUGAUAACAAGGAAUGGAAGGCAGUCUACUGCAGCAUUUGAUUGUAUGGGCUCAGGGGCCAGACUUCCUGGGUUUGAAGCCCAUCUCUACCACCUCCUACCUGUGGUUUGGGCAAAGUUAUUGAAUUAUUUAAUUUUUCUUUGAUUCAGUUUCUUCAUUGUUACGGGGUGAAUUGUGUUUCUUCAAAAUUCAUAUGUGGAAGUCCUAACCCAGUACCUCAGAAGGUGACUGUAUUUGGACAUAAGGACUUGAAAGAGGUGAUUCUGUGAAAAUGAGGCUGUGAAGUCCUCGCCAACAAUAAAUGGUGACAACCUCAAAAACAGAAACAAAACAAGACCAUGAGGGUGGGCCUUAAUCCAAUGUGACUGGUGUCCUUAAAAGGAAGAGGGAUUUGGACACAAAACGAGACACUAGGAAUAUGCAGGCAUAGAAGAAAGACCACACAAGGAAGCAGUAAGAGGUGGCCAUCUGCAAACCAAAGAGAGAGGACUCAGAAGAAACCGAACUUGUCGAUACCUUGAUCUUGAACUUUGAGCCUCCAGAAAGAUGGGAAAAUAAAUGUCUGUUGUUCAAGCCACCCAAGCUUUAAUAUUUUGAUAUGGCAGCCCUAACAAACUAAUAGAUUCAUCUGUAAAUUAAGGAUUAAAAAAUAGUACCUACCUCAUAGAGUUGAGGUAAAGUUUAAAUGAGAUAUUCCACAUAAAGCAUUUGUUACUUUGCUUGGGACAUAAUUAAUACUCAGUAUAUGUUAGAAUUAUAGAAGAUGCAUCUGAAAGUUCUGCCAUAUUGUGGGAGGGUUGAAACGUGGUGGGAGAAGUGGUUCUCCAAAAUUUGUAGGUGAUGGCUUAAGUGACAACUAUCAUGUAUUAAGUACUUAUUGAGUGUGGAUCCUGUUUAGGUUAUAUUUGGCUGCAGGCAACAGAAAUAAACAUAAUACUUAAAUAAGAUAAAAGGUCUUUCUCUCUUUCUAGCCAACAGCUGGAGGCAACCUAGGGAAGUUAUGGUACUCUAUGAUAUUAGGGACUUGAGCUCUUUCUAUUUGUUAAAUUGUCGUUUGUGGAUUUCAUCCUCAGUUGUCCAAAAUGGCUGCAGGAGCUCCCAACAUUGUGUCCCAAUUCUAUCCAGGAUGAAGGACAAAAGAAUAGAGAAGUGCAAGCCUUUAUUUUAAAGAAACUUCCAGGAAAUUCCAUAUACCUAUUCCACUUGCAUUUCUUUGACCAGAACUUAGCUCCAUGGUCACACUUAGGUGCCAGGGAGACUGGGAAACAAUCUUUAUUCCAGGAUAAUAAGAAUGCAGCUAAGUAUCCAAGACUCUAUUAUAGAGCACAGAAGACAAAGGAGACAUUUGGUAACAGUAAUUGGUCUCUAUACCACGUGCAAUAUGUGUGCAGAGAUCAUUGAAACAGGGAUCCUUAUUGUGUUCUGUUUUGUUUGUUUGUUUUUCUGGUGGGGAAACUGAGCUUUUGUUUCUUCUUCAAGGGAUAUACAGCUCAGAUUGACCUAACCCCCAGUUUCUCAUGGAUCCUAAAAUCUCUCUACUUAACAAGUAAGAGUGACUGAUCUUUACACAGUCCAGGAACCUCAAGGUGAUGGUGACAAACUCCCCCAAAUGUCCACUGCUAUCUGAUGAAAGACAUCAACUUUGGUUGCAAUUUCUUAAGCCAGAUACGAAGAAGAAUGUUUUAAGUCUCACCACAGUGAUGCAUGGAAAUGAAUCCUGAAGUAAAGUAUAAUGUCACCUUGCCAUCCCUAGGAGAUGCUUAGGGAUAAGCAAGAGACAGCAGUCUGGGGUGUAUUUGGAGGGCCGUUCCGCCUGAAAGUUAGGCCUCUGUUGAAUUUGUGAUGAGAAAGAAAGGGGCUUAUCUACAUGAAAAAACAAAAAUAAUGAUCGUCAUAUCUUUAAAGGCUUCCAGGGAAAAAGAAGUCUGACAGAAAAGUUGAAGGAAUAAAUGUUAGACUAGAGUAGAAAAAAAAAAAGCUUUCACCAAAAUGUCAGGGGAAAAAGAAGUGCGGGAAGAGAGGCAUUAAUAAGUGAACAGGGGAUAAAGUUGGUGGCAAUUCUCAGAGGGGAAGCUGCUGGGCUACUUUUUAAAAAAUGUUCAUUUCUCUCUCUUUUUAUUCAGCUCAUUUGUAGGUGUCCAUUAUAGAAUAGCUAAUCUUUUACAGGCAAAGGAUCUAAAUAGAAAACAUUAAAGAAGUCUCACUCCGAUGAAUGAGGCCGAGCCUGCAGCUCAAGGAAACCCUGGAGACUGCAUAGGGUGUUGGAAGAAAGAAUCUCAGAAGAAAGAAAUCUUCCCAUGAAGAGAGAACAUCAAUUUCCAAGCCAGCAAGGGCGAGCUGGGGCCUCAGGAAGGAGGGGUGGGGUGGAGAGUGAACAGAUCCACACACUGGUAAGGUAGAUGAAUAAGAGAGAAACACCUAAAGCUUGCCCGAAAGCAAAGUCCUUGACCAGGUUUUUGUUCUGUGGAGGUCCCUUAAAACAACCCUGACUGGAGUUUUCUUUAACUGGCCCUGAGGGGAGAAAAAUGCCAGGACUCACCAAUGGAUGUUUCUCAAAUGCAAAGAAUCCUUCCAGUGGUCGUCUAUGUGUAGUGACGUGGGCAGCCCUGAUAUGAUCUGAGGGGUGCAGCGCAGUGGUUCCUCCCACACAGAUUCUGGCUCUGGCCCCAUCCUGGUUUUUGAACACCUAUCUACAUAACCUGCUAUGGAGUAAAGGUAUUGUUUGCCCAACACGCCUGUUGAAAGGCAAGUGUCCCUGGUAGGGUAAUCCAUUAGCAUUGGCAGGUCCUUCAGCAUAGAUGUGUGUCUCAGAUUAGAGGACUAGAAAGGCCUGGAAGUUGGGGAGAGUUAGUCUGAUAUGGAACAUUAGAGAGGAAUAGAGAAGGAGGGGAAGGAGAGAGGAGGGCAAAAGGGAGAGCAUUUUGACCAGCAUUUGGCCUUGAGACAGAAGGGGCUGAGUGAGGAUGAGAGCAGAAAUUUAAAUGGGAAGGUGUGGGGGCCCCUAAGGGGUUACUGUUUCUUCCACAAGCUACCAGGGCCAGACUCAUUCUUUCCUAAGGGCUCUCAUUCUUCCUCAAGCCCACUGGUGAAUUCACCUUUGAGUAUAGGCCAAAAGAGGAGACAACUCACUUCCUUUUAAUUAUUGAAACAAUAAUGUAAUAGCACCAUCAUUAAGCACUGGUUCUUAACUUGGGAGGGAGGUGAUCAUCGAACUCCUCUGAGAAUCUGAUGAAAGCUGUGCUCGUACUUCUCAAAAAAAUAAACAUAUGCACAGCCACACAAAAUAUGGUAUGUUUUCACUUGUUUUAUGGACACUGUGGGGGCCCAUCUCUGGGUCCCAUGAGAGGCCAUUGUCUCCUAGCUAAAAUGCUUUGAUUUAUUCUUUAAUAAUCCUAACACAGAGGUUUCAUUUUUGUGCAUUUAUUCUAAGCCCUCUUCCUUAUGCAUGCAUAAUUGUUACAGUGCAAUCAUAAUCUACAUACAAUUUAUGUGUUCUACUUUAUAAAAUCUAACAUUAUCUGGUAAACAUUUUUCUAUGUUGUUAUAUAUUCUUCACAAUUAUAAAUUUGAAUGAAUAUAUAAAAUUGUAUUGAAUUGUUGCAGUAUAAUUUUCUUAACUGUUCCUUAAUGACUAGGUGUUUAAAUGGCUUCUAAUUUUGUAGUAUAGAUAAUGCUACACUGAAUAUCCUUAUCCAUUUAUCUUGCUUCUGUUGAAUGUUUCCUUGAGAAAAAUUCCUACCCUUUACAAAAUCAAAGUGUAAGAAUAUUUUUAUGGGUCUUAAAAGAUGAUGUGAUAUUGCUUUCCAAAGAAGUUAUAAUUUUGGGUACCGCCAAUAGUAUACAAGUGUCCCAAUUUCCCCAAAUCUUUACCUAUAAUGGGUACUAUUAUUGAAUUUUUUUCUAAUUUAAUAGUUUUCAAAGCAUCAAGAAGAUAGUCUGAUGUUUGGUUGCCAAGGGGUGAAGUGGAGAAUGAGAAGAGUGUACUGGGAGGAUGGGGAAGUCUGGUCUAUAAUGGGAAUGGAUAAAGCUUCUAAGCUUUUCAGUAACAACUGGAACCAAGCAGGCUAUAUGAGUUAAGGAGCAGCACUCACGGACUUAGUAAACAGUACAUUCCCACUUUCUGUCCAAUCCCUUUUCAAGCUUCCACUUCUAAAUUUUAUCAGUCAAAAUGGAAACUGGGAGCUAGGGUUUGAUCAGGACCAACAGGGUUACUGUGGGUCACUUUGUAAGGCUACUGUGAUAUGGUAACAGUAUGGUUUAUCCUCAGGAUGUCAUUGUCUCUAAAAAAUUGCCUUGUGCUCCAUAGCAGCACUAUCCAAUAGAAACAUAAUGCAAGCCACAUAUACGUAGUUUUCAGUUUUCCAGUAGCCACACUAAAGAAAAAAAGUAAAAAGAAACAAAUGAUCCUCCUGACCUCAAAAUAUAUUACAAAGCUACAGUUGUUAAAACAUGGUACUAGCAUAAAGACAGACAUACACACCAAUGGAACAGAAUAGAAAGCUCAGAAAUAAACUCACAGGUAUACAUUCAACUGAGCUUUGACAAGGGUGUCAAGAAUAUAUAAGAGGGAAUGGACAGUAUCUUCAACAAAUGUUGUUGGGAAAACAGGAUAUCCACAUACAAAAUAAUGAAAUUAAAUCUUUAUCUUACUGUAUGCAUAAAAAUUAAUUCAAAAUUGAUUAAAGACUCAAACGUAAGACCUGAAACCAUAAAACUCCUAGAGAGAGGAAAAGCUUUAGUACACUGGGCUUGCUAAUAAUUUCUUAGAUAUGAUACCAAAGUACAAACAACAAAAGCAAAAUUGUACAAUGUGACUACAUGAAACUAAAAAGCUUCUGUACAACAAAGGAAACAAUUAACAGAAUGAAAAGGCAGCCUACAGAAAGGGAGAAAGUAUUUUCUAUAUAUAUAUUGAUAAGGGAUUAACAUCCAAAAUAAAUAAGUUCCUACGACUUAGUAGCAAAAAACCAAAUAAUCUGAUUUAAAAACAGGCAAACAGGCAAAGGACUUGAAUAGAAAUUUCUCCAAAGAAGACUUACAAAUGGCCAACAGGUGUAUGAAAAGAUGCUCAACAUCACUAAUCAUCAGGGAAAUGUGAAUCAAAGCCACAGUGAGAUAUCACCUCACACCCAUUGAUAUGGUUAUUGUCAAAAACAAAACAAGGCUGGGAGUAGUGGCUCACAUGUGUAAUGCCAGUACUGUGAGAGGCCAAGGCAGGAGGAUCACUUGAGGCCAGAAGCUCAAGACCAGCCUGAGCGAAACAGUAAGACCCCGUCUCUUCAAAAAAUUAAAAAAUUAGCUGGGCAUGGUGGUGUGCCCGUAAAAUCUCAGCUACUUGGAAGGCUGAGGUGGGAGGAUCGCUUGAGUCCAGGAGUUCGAGGCUGCAGUGAACUAUGAUCACACCACUACACACCAGCCUGGGUGACAGAGCAAGACCUUGUCUCAAAAAUAAAUAAAUAAAUCAGACAAAAAAGAUUAAAAUGUUGGUGAGACUGUGGAGAAAUUGGAAUUUUUAUAUACUGUUAGUGGGAAUGUAAAACAGUGCAGCCAAUAUAGAAAACAGUAUAAAGUUUCCUCAAAAAAUAAAAAAUAGAACUACCAUAUGUUCCAGCAAUUCCACUACUGGGUAUAUCCCAAAAGAAUUGAAAUUAGAAUCUUGCAGGGAUAUCUGUACUCCCAUGUCCAUUGCAGCAGUAUUAGCAAUAGCCAAGACAUGGAAGCAACCAAAAUGUUCACUGGCAGAUGAAUGGAUAAAAAAAUAUGGUAUAUAUAUACAAUGGAAUAUUAUUCAGCCUUUAAAAAGAAGAAAAUCCUGUCACUUGAGACAACAUGGAUGAACCCGGAGGACAUUAUGCUAAGUGAAAUGAGCCAGUCACAGAAGACAAAUACUGCAUGAUUCCACUUCUAUGAGGUACCUAAAAUAGUCAGACUCACACAAGCAGAAAAUAGAAGUGACUACCAGGAGCUGAGCUGGGGGGAGUAGGUUGGGACUUGUUCAGUUGAUAUAAAGUUUUGGUUAUGCAGGAGAAAUAACUUCUAGAGAUCUGCUGUACAGCAUAGCACCCAUAGUGAAUGGUACUGUAUUAUGCCCUUAAACAUUUGUUAUGAGGUUAGAUCUCAUGUUAAGCACUCUUGCCAAAAACAAACAACACAAAACAAAGAAAAAGGAAAAAAACAGUGGAGGGAGGACACAGGGAAACUUUUAAAGGUGAUGGAGAUGUCUAUUACCUUGAUUGUGGUGAUAGUUUUAUAGGUGUAUGCAUAUGUCCAAACUCUUCAAAUUAUAUGCAUUAAACGUACAUAGUUUUAAUAUAUCAAUUAUAUCUCAAUAAAACUAUUAAAAAACAAAUCAAAUUAACUUCAGUACUAUAUAUUAUUUAACCUGUCAUAUAUUUAAAAAUAUCAUUUCAGCAUGUAAUCAACAUAAAAAUUAUUAAGUAUUUUCACAGUCCUUUUUUCAUACUAAACCUUUGGAAACUGUUGCAUAUUUUAUACUAACAACACAUCCCAGUUCGAGACACCUAUAUUUCUAGUACUCAGUUGCCACAUGUGGUCAUGGCCACUGUAGUAGACAGUGCAGCUCUGUGGCCUCAGCCCACAGAGAUGAGCCUAGGAUGCUUUGCAUUGCAGAACUGUCUUUCUCUUAACGCUUGAGCUAUUGGGAAAUCAGAGCCAUGUUAUUUAUCAUGAAAGAGCAUUUGAUUAAAAGUAUAAAAUAUCCUAGGUCAGAUGGCUCACUGUAGUUGCAGGGGAGACAGUGAAUUGCUGACCAUGCACUGUGAUACAUCAAAAUAUAGGGACAUUCAGGCACCUCCUCAGCCUACUGAAUCAGGAUCUUUGGGGUGAGUCUAGAAAACAGAUUUUUAAGUACAGGUUUUAAUAUGAUAAUAAGUGGUGCCUGUUAUUAAUGGGAGGACAUUGAAUCCCAGAGAGAAUGAAUGACUCACUCAUGUUCUUCUCAUAGUUAGGGGUCAGCUAGACCUAGAACCUCACUUGGACCCACUAGACACCUUUCCACGCCCUCACCACAAUCACUGCCAACUGCUAUUCCAGCACAAUUCUUGCCAAGAAAAUACCUGCUGUCAUGUGACAGGUAUCAGCACACUUUAGGAGCAGUCAAGACAACUUCCUAAGAAGGUAAACUAUAUUUUCCCAACUUACCAAAUUAGAGUAAGAAGAAUAGAUUUCUUCCUUUAAUCUGGCUUUGUCUCAGACUGGAAGUGCUCUCUUGUCCAGUUAGAAACUAAUCGUGAUAAAAUUAGUAGGCCAGAAGGACACUCAUGGCCCAUCUUUAACAGGAUUUAUAGCCCUGGUUCCUUUUCUUGUUGCCUCUGUGGAAAUGUGCAAGCAUACACAUAGUUAGGAAGGUUUGAAGGAAAUGCCUUAGAGAAGUCUCAGUGACCAAGAAAAGCUAGUCAAAUUGCCAGCUUCGGCCACAGCCAUGUGUUAAAAUGCUCUGCAGACCCAAGUGUGAUCAUGAAACAAGUACAGCAAGAACAGCAGGUCUGUAAACAUCCUGAUGACAAUGGGGAACAAACAGCUGGGCCGAGACCAGAUCGGUUCAGGCAAAUGUGCUCGUGCUUUUGAUCCAAGUGCAAGAUGAGCGGAUGCAGGGGAGGCGGCAGCUGCGGCACAGCUGGACUCAGGAGGCAUGUGAUAGCGUGACUUGCAAAUCAUGCUGGAAAAAUUCAUUCUACUAAGCUUGGACGUGAACACAGUCACGUGGGGCCCAUCAGCUCACACACUGCAGCCAAGAGCGAGACAGAAAUGCAACCGGGCUAAUAAGAGGCGUCAGGCCCACUUCUAGUUGGACACGGCUGUCUUUCAGGGAAGGAAUGGGACAGGAAAUGCACUAUAUUUGGAAAUGACUCUAAAUUUAGAAUGAAAGACUGACUUGAGAAUACUGAAAACUUGAUUGAGAGAUACUUAAAUGUAUUUUAUAAGCAUGGAAGGCAUUUACUGGGGUCUCUACCAUAGUGUUUUUUGCUUGUUUGUUUGUUCGUUGAAGACAAGGUCUCACUGUGUCACCCAGACUGGAGUGCAGUGGCACAAUCACAGCUCACUGCAGCCUCAACCUCCUGGGCUCAAGUGUUCCUCAUGCGUCAGCCUCCAGAGUAGCUGAGGCUACUUGACCACAGGCAAGCACCACAUGCCUGGCUAAUUAAAAAAAUUUUUUUUUGUAGAGAUGGUAUCUCCCUGUGUUGCCCUGGCUGGUCUCAAACUCUUGGGCUAAAGUGAUCCUUCCACUUCAGCCUCCUAAAGUGCUGGGAUUGCAGUUGGGAGCCACAGCUCCUGGCUUCAUAGUGUUUAAUAUGAAAGGCUAUUCUGAUCUUUCCUACUGGUCUAGCACUUUGGGGUUUGCAAAGAGCCUUACAUUCACUUUCACUUCACCAAUGAGUAAAUAAGCCUCAGAAAAACUGAGUAAAUACUAGAGCUCCAGUGGCGCAAUCGGUUAGCGCGCGGUACUUAUACAGAAAAACUGAGUAAAUACUGAAUGUAUGUGUGUGUAGACAUACAAUAUUACAUGAUGUGCUAUUAAUAUAGCAUGUGUAUAUAUACUGUUUUACACAUAUUUAUAUAUAUUAUCAUACUAUAUAUGCAUAUAUGCAUACUAUUAUAAUCAUUCAUUUAACAAAUAUUUAUUGAGCAAUUACUUAGGUACCGGGCACAGUGCAGUAUAUCAACAAGGGUAAGGGAUGCAGACAUUGCAACUCUCAUGGAACUCAGAGCCUAGUUAGGAAGAAAACCAUUGCAUAAACAAUCACAACAUAAAUAUGAUUAGAGUCUGGAGUAAGUGCUACAAAAGAAAAGUCUAAGAGGUCACAAGAGUAUAAGAAGAGGGUCUGCCUUGCCUGGAGCAUCAGAUGCUCCCCUGAGGAAGGAGCCUGUGAGCUGAGCGGUCCGGAUGAGCAGGUGUUUUCUACAGUCUGUGCAUUGUGUCUGCUGAGAAUCUGGAAAUUAAAAAUGCUGCUGUUGGGGGUUUCACCAUGUACGGACGAGGCAGGAGUUCCUCCAAAAAAUACAAAUUCCAUGAGGUUAAAUCAGACCUCUCAGCCCCAAUCAAAAGGUAAGGACUUCGUGGAAGCUAAGGUCAAAGUCCAAUCGAUUUAAUAGACCCUGAGAAUGUAACAUCCUAUGGAAGCUGAAAUCUAAGUGCAGGUUAGUUCUCCCAAUUGCUUUCUGCCCUUUAAGGUUAGAGAAAGAUGACAGCAAGAAGCAUAAAACUCAGUUGUGGCUCUCAGAGCAGUCCUUGUUUUGAGGUUUUCUUUUUUCUGUCUUCUCCUUUCCCCCCUGUCUCCUCUCUGUCUUUGUCCUCCUUCCUCUACCUUCUUUAUUUUUCACUGUUAUAGAUUAGUACCAUCUAUUCUAUUAAUAUUGACUAUAAAUGCAUGUUUUCUUCAUGUUAAAUGCCUAUCAAUUGUCUUCUACCUUCCAAAAGUUAAAAAUGUAUAUAUGAUAUGGCAAAACUUGUGCUAGAUCACAAAAGCAAGCUUUCAUUUUGAUUUACACAGGUAUGUGUGUACACACAAACACACUAAAUACAAAGGGUUGCUGCUAUAGGCUAGCAUAAAUAGCUUCCUGAUUCUUAACACAUCAGGUAAUAUAAAUUCUGGUAAGCUCAGACUGCCUCUAUAUGUUCAUAUCAAUUAGCCUUAAGGGUCUUUUUCUGAAGCACACGGUAAAAUCAACACAGCAUUAGGAGCUAUUUUCUCAAAAACAAAGAGUUUGAAUUCUUGCUGUAGUAGUUCUGAAGUAAAAGAGAGGCUCCUUGCCCCUCGUUGUUCAAAGUCAUCCAUUUCCAACAGGCGAGGGCAUCAACAAUUUGGCAGAGGCAGGUAAAAAAGAGCCAGGGGAACCCAAGUGAAAUUUCAACACAGCGGUUGCCUUGGAACCCAUUUGGAGGUUAACUUGCUCUUGUUUCUCCAGCAUUUCCUUGCUGAAGGAAAUUUGUACUCCAAUUCCAGCCGCGUUCCAACUCCAAUAAAACAGUGAUAAGAUGCCCUGGAGGGUUGCAGCCAAGCCUGUGGGUGCAAACAGGGUCAAAUCACAUCAUGGGAAUGAGAUGGGAUUCUACAUAGUUUGAGUGUUGACUGUUUUCCUCUUGCCAACAGUGGGACGUUUGUUCUCAUUGUUAAAUAAUUAAAUAGGCAGUUUGUAUUUAUUUAACAUACAGACUGUAGCCAAUUCCUGCUGACAGCUACCAAAAUAACCCCAUAUUUCCUAGCUCUGAAUGGCUCAGAAGACUGUUUCCUGACUGCGGGAGCAUCACCGCAGAGCAAAACUCUCCUCCAAGUCUCCGAACACCUUUUUCAUCACUUUAAACAAUAAAUCAAUUCACAGCAUGUGAUCCAAAAACAACAGCCCAGUUUUAUUGGAUGAGGUUCAUUCCCAUUCUCUCAGGCACUCCUUCACUACCAGCACUGAGCUGUCUUGAAGCUGUACUUGGCUGUGGAUGGAAAAAAAAAAUCUACUAGUUUUCCUCAUUUACACUUGCCCAUUAAAAAAAGUGAAUUGUGACCUAAUAACUUAAAAAAGAAAAAAAAAAAGAAGAAUUAUAACUUGGAGGAGAAAGUAGAAAGUUUGGGAGAAGCAGGCCAAUCAGGAAGUCAGGGGAAACAAGUAUUUAAAUGUGGAGGUGGGUAGUCCUUGGAGCUUGGGAAUGAUUCAAGAUAAGGUAGAGACUCUCACUGGUCUCCUAAGGUGGUCAACAUGGCAGAGGGAAGAAACUGAGCAGUCAAAGAUAGCAUCCUCUGUGGAGGGUGGUGCUAAGAGAGAUUCUAGAACCAUUUACACAUGAUCAAUGCUUUGAUCCUGUCAUGUGUAUCAGAAGAGAUGUAGACCAGGCCGGGCAUGGUGGCUCACGCCUGUAAUCCCAGCACUUUGGGAGGCCAAGGUGGGCAGAUCACUUGAGGCCAGGAGUUCGAGACCAGCCUGGCCAACGUGGUGAAACACUGUCUCUACUAAAAAUACAACAACAAUUAGCUGGGCGUGGUGGCACGUACCUGUAAUCCCAGCUACUCGGGAGGCAGAGGUUGCAGUGACUGAGAUUGCACUACUGCACUCCACUCUGGGUGACAGAGAGAGACUCUGUCUCAAAAAAAAAAAAAAAAAAAAAAAAAAAAAAAAAAAAAAAAGGAGAUAUAGACCAGACUCCUCUUGAAAUUUCCUGGUAUUUGUAGUGUCUGAGGCAUUCAGACAGUAGGUGCUAAAGACUUAUCCCUAGGAGUCCGGAGUCCCACUUAAGUGGAAGAAGGAAGCGAUUUUCCCUGUCCUAAGUGGCUAGCUACCAGCCAGCAGCCAGGCGAUGUGUGGGUACUGACAUACCACAGCAUCUUCCUCUCGAUGCUCCCACUAAUGUGGCCACCAAAGGUCCACCCUAGAGGAAACAGCAAUGAAAGGAAACAGGACAAAAGACCCCGUGGCAAGAAAAAAGAUGGCCUAAUUUUUUCUUUCUCACCAUUCCUCUUGUCCUCUUAACCCAUCUCUUUACUGUGCAAUUUGCACUUUGAGUGGCUCUACAGAUGGUGGAUACAGUGAAGACCUCUGUUAUCAAUAUUAAAACUGAGCAUCAGUGAGUCAACAAGGCUCCACUUUGUCCUGUUCAACUUUAGCAGCACCACAGAGAUCAGAACUAAGUAAAGCCAUUUACACAAUUAAGGAGGAGGCUGCCUUUUAGAGUGGCACAAGCAUUUCCUCUGGAGUAGUGUGUCUGAACCAGGAAGUCCCUCUCUGCCUUGUCUGUGGAUUUUAGACAGUCUGAAUUCAGUUUCUUCUUCUGUGAAAUAGAUCAGCCCCACUUGUACUGUCAUAGUAUUGCUCUGAGUAUGGAAAAGGACAAUGGAAAAUGAGGUGCUCUGUAUUCUGUUAUUUGUCAUUAGUUGUGUUCUACUAACCAAACUUUAGGCAUGGUGGAGUUCAUUUCUGCCUCUUCUGGAGAUAGGAAACUAUAGAACUAACUUCAGAUGUAGAUUUUUUUAAAGUUGUCACUCUGUCCCUUUUCUUGUUUGUAAAAGGAGGAAGUGCUUCUGUGUGCCCUCCAAGGCUUCUUCCAACCUUCCAAAAAAAGAAAAAAAAGGCAGACAGUCCAUUCAAGGAUGGCAAUCAUGAAAUCUUGACCUACUUUGGAAUGAGAGGCAACAUCUAAGAAAACCUCAGCUUAAUCUCUAUUAGCUCACCACAGAAGCAUAUAUUCUGGGCUAAGAUCUCUCAGAAGCUGGGCCAUGGCCAUGGCAUGUGCUUAAAGCAUAAUAAAAUGGAUGUGGAAAAAAGAGGAGUGUAUCCCACCUGCUCAUUAUCUGGGGCCAUAUUCCUAGCAGGGUAGUUCAACUAUUCACAGCCAAGAAACAUUUUUGAUCAGAGUCCAAAUCUCCAUCCAGAAACAGGUUCCUGGCAUACCACUCAUGCCCCUGUAAUCAAUUCCCUGGACUGUGAAUCAAGUGACUACUGCCAGAGCAAUGGAGUUGGAUUGUUGACUUUUUGACAGGUCUCUCGCCUCUUUCUGCAUCUUAUGUCUUCCCCGCUCUCCUUCUUGCCCCACCUACUGAAGCCCUCUACCUUCAUCCCUUUUCUCCCUUACCAAUCUCUCCUCCCUCCAUUUUUUCCUUUCUCUGCACCUCAGCUGAUGGCAGAUACUAUUUUUCAUACUUCUAAGCUUGCAUCAGUAUCAACACAGCCAGAUUCACUCACAUUUCCCUCCCCCUCCUCCCUCCCUGUCCCACUCCAAUUCUUUCCAAGGAGAACUUGGGGAUUGUGUCCAAACUGGGACUGAAUACAACCAACGAGGAACCCGAUGAUCCAAGUCCCACCCCCACAGCACACUAUAAUCCAGCACUGUAUAGAGCAGUUCACAGAACCAAAUAUAAAGCCCUUAUUAAGAAUAAACAUGUUGGCUGGGUGUAGUGGCUCAUGCCUAUAAUCCCAACACUUUGGGAGGCUGAGUUGAGUGGAUAACUUGAGUCCAGGAGUUCAAGACCUGCCUGGGCAACAUGGUGAAGCCCUGUCUUUACGAAAAAUCCAAAAAAAAAAAAAGAUUAGCUGGGCAUGGGGCAUGCGCCUGUAGGCCUAGCUACUUGGGAGGCUGAGGUGGGAGGAUAGCUUGAAUCCAGGAGGUUGAGCUGCAGUUAGCCAUGAUUGCAUCACUGCAUUCCAGCCUGGGCAACAGAGCAAGAUCCAGUCUAAAACAAAAAAACAAAAAAAGAAGAAUGAACAUUAUUCCAUAUGGAGACUUAGCCUCUGUCAGUUAGACCCCUUGACAUCCAUAACACAGAACUGGAAACUGGACAAUGGGCAAAGAAAGAAAAAUCACAGGUUCAGGUUACAGAAAAGAAGGCAGGGAGAAAGGGCAAGUUAAUCUAAAUACUGGGUAAGAGACAAAAAGCUAAAUGAGAUGGAGGAGCAUUCCGUGGUGGGAGUGGGAGGUGUUAGUAAACAGGGGCUGUGGAGCAACAUGGGUCCAGGAGAGUUGGGGAGACAGAAAAGGACAUAUGAAAAGUGUUGCCAGCUGGUAAGUUACAUCCUCAUAACUUCUUCUUAAGACAUAGAAAUUAGAGGCUAAAUUCCUUUUUCAUUACUUUUGACUGAUCUGUAAGUUUGUGAAUAUAAAUCUCUGGAAACUGAGGCACAUGGUCAAGGAGGCACACAGGCUACACGCUGGAGUUUAGGUAACUCUCAGAUCUUCUGAGCCAUCUUCAGAUUAAUCUCAGAUCAAAGAGGUUUAGAAAGGGAGAUGAUCUUCAGGAAUCUCCCUUACAAUACACUCUCAUCAGAUGCAUUUUUCAAAGGACAUUUGCUUUAGCAGAAUUGGAGAGAGAUAAAUCGCAGCCCUGUGCAUUCGAUACUUGAUACAUCCUUCCUCCACUGAGAAGCUAAUGCUCUAGUUCUGGGUUUACCUGAAGCCAUUAGGAGAGCUAAAACUCCAUGUAGUGUGCUCUGCUAAAAGUAAGUGGAUUUCGGAGCUAGAAGAAGAAUUCUCUCUCUCUGUAGUUCAAAUGGCAUUCAGAAAUCCAAUUAACGUUGGUUUUUCUAAAGCAGAAUCUGUAAUUGUGUCCAAUACUGCCAACUGUUCAGUUCGAUAAUAAAACAGGCUAUUCUUAAGAUGGCCUGUAGUCAUUAGGGAAAGUCUAGCUCUGUAGGAUACAAUUUCUCUUUGGAAUAAUAUAUGUGAUGUUUUUAUAAUUUCUUUCAUCCAAGCAUUUCAAAGCAUUUUAAAAUAAUUUGGAGACACAGGAUAUAUAUUUUUCAUAAAUUAAGCUACAUAUGUCAAUACUUUGCCUAGGGACAGAAAUUAAUUAUUCCACAGAAGUGAUGCUGGUAUCUAAUCUUAUUACAUUUAUACUGUAAAAGUAUCAUUAUUAAUAAUUAUGACAGCUAUUAUUUAUUGAAAGCAGAAUGCUUAUCCUGUUAGGCAUUGUGUUAAGUGCUUUGCGUGUAUUAUCUCAUUUAAUCUUCCCAUGAAUCCAAUUCUAAAUCUAAUCCCAUUUCAGUAUGAUUCUAUGAGUAAAGUACUACUUCUAUCCUUUUUUCACAAAUGGUGUCAAUUAGGUUCAAAAAAGUUUAAGUAGCAUGCCCAUUGUCACAUCGCUAGUAAGAAUGGUGGAGCAUCUCUUAUUGGGGAGGACCAGUUAUUAAGAGUUCCGAUGGUCAAUUUCCUUUUCAAAUGUCACUUGUGUGGCAUAUUGUGCAGCCUGUUUGAUCAUGAAGAGAUGGCCUUCUUAAUUCUAGAACCGUGUGGCUAAAAUCUUUGCUAAUUCUUGAAUGUACCAAGGGCUCUACUGUCUCUCAACACCUUGUAAGUAAAGAAAACUUAAGGGUGAUUUUUAAAGUAUGGCAAAGAACAACCUUUCUCAACUGUCAGACAGUUCUCUAGAUCACAACUAUAGCACAUACCAUACCAAAAAUUACAAAAUUUGGAAACAUAAAGUUGUCAUCUUCCUCCUGGGUUAUUGCAGUGUCCUAAUUGUUCUCCUUGCUUCUCAUUUUGCCCCCUUGGAAUAAAACCCAUGGCUAAAUGUUUUAGCCUAGCUUACCAGUAAUCUGAUCUCAUCUUAUGCCACGCUCUUCCUAACCCACUCUAUUCCAGCCACACUCACUCAGCCUUUUCCAGCUCUUCAAACACACCAAGUUCUUCUUGCCUUUAUACAUACUAUCAUCUCCUGUUGAAACUUCAUACUCCUGCUCUUCUCCCAUAUUCCUUCCUCCUAUUUCUUGGCUCUUAAAUGUUAUAAAUGGUGUUCAGUCACAUACACACACACAUUCACAAACACACACCCCACGUCUAAAUUACACCCUGUUUUUCCUUCAUAGCUCUUAUCCAUAUUUACAGUUUUCUGUUGUUUUGAGUACUUUGUCUAAUGAGUGUCUCUUCAAUUGGACUAUAAGAUCCAUGAGGGAAAAUUUCAUAUCUCUUCAUUUACCAUUGUAUUCCCAGUGCCUGAUACACUGCCUGACUAUAUUAGAAGCCAGUGAACUAUUUCAUAAGUUGAGUGACUCUAAGUUUGAUUCCUUAUCAACCACCUAAUUGCUGUGUGACCUUUGGAAAUGCAUAUUCAACUUCUUCUCUGAGUGUCAGUCUUUUCAUCUGUUAAAUGGGGCUCACAAUACCUAUAUUACAGGAUCUACAUGGAGAAGAUGUAUGCUAAUAUAUAUAAAAUGCUUCAAAAAUUGUUAAACCUUGUAGAAUCUCGAACUUUAAAUUCAGUAUCGCCCCAUUGAAGCUAAGGGUGUUUCCGCCAGUUUAGUAGGCUAAACUUGCAGAAGGAGCAGACUUUGGACAGCAUGUGGGCAAUUUUCACAAGGCGUUUAACUGGGCUUCAAGCCCAGGGCACUCAGAGGCUCAGCAAGGAGUGAAAUAGGGCCAGCUCGCCCCCCGAGGGGUCCAUCGGUCCCUUGACUAAGCUGGUAUGCUUAUGUUGUGUAUUUGUGCAUCAUAAACACAGCCAUCUAUCUGGUUUUUUGUCCUCUUUUCUGACUGACUUCUCACUCAAAGCACAAAGAAAAAGAAAGGAAAUGCAAAGUCAUGUGCAUCAACAGAGCCUAUAUCUUUGAGUAUCUUAGUGACUUGGGAUUAUUUUAAGGGAAAAAAUAUGGGAAAGUUCUGCAGGGACCUAACACACAUGGCUGGCUAUCAUCUAUACUCCAAGUAGACAUCGCUUUCUUAACUGUUGUAGUUGUUUGGAAGGAAGGGUGUGUCUGAUGCAGCCUAGAACUUUUCCCAGGGAUUUUGGGGAAAGCUCUCUUCCUUCUUAUUGAUCUGGAUUUGAAAAAGCAAUAAUAUCUAAAACUACGUUAGGGGAAAGGUCAGAAAAGAGAAGUCACCUGAUAGAGAAAGGGUCAAGGUAGACAGAGGUCACCAGUGGAGACUAAGGUCUAAGACAUAUGGUUUCCUUUGACUUUCUUCUCCUCACCAGUGGGUAAAGUGGUGAACUGGAUAUCAGCAUUCUUGGAAACUCCUGGAAGUUUUCUAAUUCUCUACAGAACCAUGAAGUGAACAGGGCACUUCAAAGAAUACUUGAUCCAUAGCCCUUGCUUUUUCAUAGGUUAGUCUCUGAAACAAAUGAGAAAGUAAUUCACAUUAUAAGUGGUAUUCCAAAAACAACAGCCAUUUGGGAUUCUUAUCUGGUAUUGAGGGGUAGACAGGAUUUUUCCAAGCUUGAAUAAAAGUCCCAGGAUCUGCUAGACACGGGGAAUUUACCCUCUCUUCUUCACCCAUGUGAAAUCUCACUCCACGACCAUUCCCUGACCUAGGCCCCAUCAUCUCCUGCUUGGGCCACUUCAAGAGACUCCUAAGCAACUUUUCGCUUCUGGUCUGGUGCCUGCUCCACUUCACCCCCAAUCCAUUCACACUUUACCCAGAGUGAUCUUUCUGAAACAAAUCUAAUCAUACAAACCCUGCUUGAAUGUCUUCCAUCAUUCUCCACGGUUGUGGAGGUAAAGUCCACACUGUAACAUGGCCUAUGAGGCCUUCCUACCUCACCAGCAUCAUCUCGUAUAAUUCUUCCCAUAUCUCACCAUCCACCUCGGCCCACCUCUUAUUAUUCAGGCAUGCUGUUCUUAAGGCAGGUCCUGAACAGGCUGUGCUCUCUUGGGACUCUAGGUCUUUACAUAUCUGUGAAUUAUAAAGUUCACCUUCUCACUACUAUUAUUCAAAACAUUUUCUUGGAGCUCUUUCAUUGCGCUUAACAUUGUACUUGGCAGUAGAACAGACAGACAGGUAAACAAGUAGUUACAGUUCAGAUAUUACAGAGGACAAAAUGUAUAAAUGUGAUAGAAGCCAGAGAAAGGGGCAACUAAUUUGGUCAGGGCGGAGCAAAGGAAAGCUUCACAAGAAGAGAAGACCAAUCACAUUAGCUCAUGUUUAGUGAACAUUUACUUAGCUCUGAGCUAAAGUGUUUUACAAAUGUUAUCUUAUCAAAUUAUCAAAAUAACUCUAGGAAAUGGAUACUGUCAGGAGAGAGGAGAGCAUAACAGUUAAGCACAUGAGUUAGGCCUCAGCUUAAACCCUGUCUCUACCACUUAGAAGAUUUCUAGCCUUGAGCAAGUUGUUUAACUCCCAAGGCAUUUUUGUCAACUUCAAAAUGGAGAUAGAUAAUAGUUUUUUUAAAAAAAUUAGUUCUGGCUGGGCGCGGUGGCUCACGCCUGUAAUCCCA
This 19940-nucleotide long non-coding RNA is filed under the name Homo sapiens (human). RNAcentral's name for it is "HSALNT0072384". Lineage: Eukaryota; Metazoa; Chordata; Mammalia; Primates; Hominidae. The record is from RNAcentral.